RNAcentral lists this long non-coding RNA (8834 nucleotides) under Mytilus galloprovincialis (Mediterranean mussel). Lineage: Eukaryota; Metazoa; Mollusca; Bivalvia; Mytilida; Mytilidae. The record is from RNAcentral.
CAAACAUUCAUGCAGAAAAUGAAUAUAAUUCCUGGAUUUGCAUUGGUUUUACCGGCGUUCAGUAACUGUCAGCUGCAAACAAAAAUGUCCAAAUUUUGUCCGACUUAUACGAGGGUCAAGACUAAAUCCUCAGAAUUUGGAGCUGAAAAGGGCAUCCGACUUAUAGUCGGAUCGACUUAUAAGCGAGUAGCUACGGUAUGUAUUUUAUAAUUGUCUUAAAAACUUAAGCAUUUUUUAUUCAGAAAUAACUCAUAUUUAUCAAAUGGUCAUGAAUUGAGAAAAAAAAAGUAAUUUUUUACUGUAUAUUUAUCAACAUUAAAAAAAUUGCACUAUUUACAGUUUUAUAAAAUUUGGUUCAUAUAAUCUCCCUGCAAAAUGAAACAAAAUUUCAUUUUAAAAAAUAGGGGUCCAUGCACUUGUUUUCAAAUUAAAUCAGUUUGAAUGAUAAAAAUCAGUUGGAAAAUGCAUCUUUUCUCGGUAUGUCACAGUUUGACGUCGCAAAAAUAACAUUUUACGUUAGCAACGUCAUUACCUCCCCUGUUACUGUAUCAUAUGCCCUUAACAUUAAACCCAACAUCCUGUUUGAGUAUAGGACAUAUCAUGGUCAGUCUGAGACAGAUAAAAUUUGAACUAAAUUAAGCACCUCUGUUGCAUCUCUGCCAGAGACAAACUGCCAAGGUCAUUCAAAAGAUUUGAAAAUUUUUUUUGCUGCUCAUCCAACAUGAAUGCAACAUGGAUUUAGAGCAAAGUCUGAUGGACCCUAGUCAAAAAAAUAUAUCCUCAAGAGGACUGACACAUCCCCUGGCAAACUGUCACUUUUUGAUCUAGAACAUUGGAAUGUUGGUUUAGUACAAACAGUGUUCAUAUUUAUAUUUUAUACUAUUGAUUGUGGAGAAAUGACUGGUUGAAUAUAAAACUUCUACUAUUAACAUCUAAAUAUCAUGAGGCUGACCAAAUUGUUUUUCAAAACACAGUGCAUUUGUAUAUUUGACUUGAAUUAUUCAGCCCCCAAAACCUGGUUUCUUGCUGCUGUAUCCUCUCCAAGCUCCCUUUGCUCAUUGUGUCAGUCUGCAAAAUAAAUUAGAACCAGCAGGAGACUGACAUAGAAUCGUUAAGACAGGUAGUUGAACAAUUAGUCUGACAUGUUAACUCUGUGUUUAAAAUCACGGAAGAAAUGCCAAGUACAAUCACAAGAUUGAUCUAAUGAGAAAAACACAAAGUCUAAAUUCUCCAAAUGUUUUUCUAACAAUAUAUAAUUAGAUAAAAAUAUGGAGAUUUCUUGUAAAUCUUUUAUCUGUAGUUUACAAAUGUUGUGAAAGAAAAUCUGUCACACAGAAAACAUAUAUUUUCACUAAUGAUCUUGCACUUCUAUGAUCCUGGUCUUAACUAGAUUUUAAUGUUAUACCUUUCUACCUUUUUGAGAUUGCUGCAAGAAUUUGAACUGAAAAUCAAACUGUUUUAUGCUUUCAACAAGUAAAGUUGACUUAAAUAUCAAACUUGUUUGUCUGUUUUCAAAGUCAGGUCUUUGUUAUUUCUAUUGGAGAUACUUUAGAGUGAAUUUUAUCAAACUUAACACAAAUCAGGCUGUAGGUUUUUAUCCUCCUGUGCUCAUGAAGAAGUGGGGUAUGGAAAGCUUGCAUAAUUGGUAGGAUUUGUCCAUAUUAUACUUUUAUUUUGAUUUUACCAUUUUUACAGGAGUUGUCUAUGCUUUACCACCAAUUGUAUUGCUCAUUUGCACACAGUGGCUGGGACCCUAUGGGAUAACAAUGUUGUCUCUAUUGAAGUGUUUCACAUUUUGUAUUUCUCUUACUGGGUUCUUUUAUAGCUUCUAGACAGUAUGGAUUUUGUUCAUUAAAGAAGAUUUUAUGGUGAUUUAUAAUUGUUUACAUCAAUGUUCUUUGGUCAUUAAGGGGAGCAAUCCAGAUUAAACAAGACUGUGUUAAUAUUGUUCUGUUGACUAUGCUAAUUUUACUGCAUAGUAAGUGGUACACCUUUUUACUCCUCUUUACAUUGCCAAAAGUUUCUGGUCAACUGUAACCUGCAUGUUUUACAAAACUAUAUGGCUUUUUUUUAGACUCCAGCAUUAGAAUAUUCCAAAUAAGCUAUUGCUGAUAAUAUUAGAUUGCUUUGAUUGACAUUAUGUUGCAGGGGAGGCAGUGUUUAAAAAAAAAAUAUGUUUGAUGCACAAGUCUGGAUUUUAGUUGUUGAUUUGGGAUGAAUAGAAAAUGUGAUAAGUUUACCACUCCACCAUCUGGAAAAAUAAAGAAAAAAAGGAAACAGUUGUAAUAGAAAUAAUGUAAUGCAGUAUAAUCCAGUAAUUAAUGUAUAAAUACCUAAAACUGACUUAAUUAUUCAGGUCCCACUGGGGCAGAUGAUGAAUUUAUAAUGCAUUGUAGAAAUGACUUUAUAUUAUAAAGCAUUAAUUUCUGUUUAAAAUCUGCAAUCUCAUGUUAAAUCUAAAACGUGCAACCCUAUACUAAUUCACUACUAGUUCAUCAUUUCAUUUAAAUUAAGUUUUCCUGUGUUAUUCCAAAAUUACGCAAUGAAUAUGAAUGAUAUUUAUGUUAUUUAAUUCUACAAAAAAUGUAUAAAACAUGAUUAUUGAAUAGACUAUUUAAUGCCCCCAUACAAUUGAAGCUCUCUCCUGCAUUAAAACAUUGUUAAUUCACAAUAUGCUCAAGUCAUUUGGUCAUUCAGAUAAGGUGCCAAUAAUUUGUAAUAAUAAAAACAAAUGGAUAAAAGACGCAAAUGGCCUGUGAGGUUUCAUUGCAUAUGGCUUUGUGAUUUGAAAGCCAUUUAAAGAGUAGUGAUCCCCUUCUACGUUUUGCUAUGCUAAACACAGUGUAUGUGUCUUUUUAGUACAGUAAGUUGAUAUCUACUGAUUUCUUCAAAUUAGUGAAUCAGUCUGAGGGACACUAGUUCUAAGUAGAUAGCUAAGCUGUUGUAUAUAUAGACUUUGGUUAGAAGAUAUAUUACUUUUACACAUUUCUCAAAAACAUAAAUUGAGAUGCACACUUUUUAUAUAUUCUUGAUAUUUUUUGUUGGACGGAUUUGGUAUUUUUGUUUAAUUUAUUUAGUUGACAGGGAGUUGAUGACACAAAAUGGCUACCUUUUAUUAAAUAUGUGUGUAUAUUAAUUAAGGUAUAUUGAAAUAAAGAGAUGUGGUAAUAAUUGCCAAUGAGACAAAAUCAAAAGUUUCAUCAUUGGUGUUGCUGAGUUUGUGUUUUGAGUAAUAUUGUUUGCCUGUUGGCCUUUUGUCUUUUUUAGCCAUGGUUUUGUCAGUUUAUUUUUAACUUGUGAGUUUGAAUGUCCUUUUUGGUAUCUUUUUCCUCUCUUUGAAAAUCUGCAAAAUAUGCCCCAAUUGUGUAGCGUAAUUCAUUAUGAGAUGUUCAUUUUCAUUUGAUAUGAAAAGUCUAAUAAGGAUUUUCAGUAAAAACUGGAAGAAGAGUUUAUUAGACAGAACAUGUAUCCUUAGUAUUUUUUCCCCACACGGUCAUUCCACCUGUUAUUGUGUUUGAGUGUCAACACAAACACAAUUGCUAUACUUUCAACGAAAAAAACCUUGCAAUGCAUUUGUGUAUAAAAACUGAAUGUCAGUGAAACAUUGUUAGUUCUAUAGUUAAUUGUAGAAUCAUUCUGUUUGACCAGUAAGGUGUAUCCAGUCUGGUUUACUUUCAUUGUCUUUUCAACUUGCAGAAAGUCAGUCAUAUAAUAAUCAGAUUUGUACUUUUACAAUGGCUAACCUGUUAAUUGUAUAAAACCAAGAUAGAGGUGGAGUAUUCCUGGAGACUACAAUAAUUUAAAAAUUUACAGAAUGCUCUCUUUUUAUGUAAAAUCUGGACCAUAAAGCCGUAAACUUUUGUCAGCCGUUGAGAAAUUAUAAGACAAUAUUUUACGCAUAUGUAAGUUUACUUUUAGAUUAACUCUUGCAUACGAAUAGAUAGCAUCAGGGAGAGAAUCCCAUUGUUCAUUUAGAUUUAAAUGAUAAAUGUAAAUUUAUCGUGUCGUCGUUAAAAAUUGUCUUGCGCUAUACACAAAUUUUGUAUGAAAAUGAAUCUAGUGCCCUUGUCCCUUCAAUUAUAUUGUACAUUUAACCUCCACAUUUUCCACCGUUUUUAUCAAAUCUCGGUAGGAGAUAGUUUUCGUGUAAAUUGAUGAUUUAUUUCAUUUAAAAGAACAUUGCAAGUCCUAAACAUGAUUUUAUUUAGGAGGAUAUUAUUUUUAAAUGCAGUUUAUUUUUCAAAUUAUAAAGUAAAGGUACAUAAAUUAAGCUGUUAGUUUUCUCAUUUGAAUUGUUUUACAUUGUUAUUUUGGGGCCUUUUAUAGCUGACUAUGCGGUAUGGGCUGUGCUGUACUUGUUGAAGGCUGUACAGUGACCUAUAGUUGUUAAUUUCUGUUUCAUUUUGGUCUCUUGUGGAGAGUUGUCUCAUUGGCAGUCAUACCACAUCUUCUUUUUUCAUAGUAAUUGUUCCUUUUUCUGAUGUAUUAUGAUAUUUUGAUGGUGAAUAACAAAACCCAGUUUUUCAGUAUGCAGUUUUACCUUUUGGACAUAUUUUUUCUUCAAAUUAAGUUUUUGUUUAUUUGAUAAUUAAAGGCGUUAAGACUGUCUAUCUGCAGCAUAACAAAUUGAUAAUAACUAUGAAGGCAGGCUUAGGGAGCAAUUCUUAGAAUCUGUCAAGGCAUAACACCACUCAUUAACUUCUAUGAUUAGUUUUGUUAGAAACUUAUUGGAGGCCAUUUGAAUUCCAAUUAAAUACUCUACAAUAAUGUUACAAACAAUUUCCUUGUCGUCUUGAAAGUGACAAAAACAUUAAUGAACAAAAUGUUUAAUAUUUGUCAAAAAUAAUGGUGUUGUCUCUUUGAAUUCUGGUUAAUUAAGAUAAAAUAGGAUGUGGAUAUACGUCAAUGAGACAUCAACCCUUUGACAUAAAUACAAAAAGACAUUUACAGGUCAACAUACUGUCUUCAACAAUAGGAAAGUGUCUACAGCAUAGAUCAAGCUUUCAAAUCAUUUCAGUGUAGACAUAAAAGAAUAUAUCUAAACGAGAACUUAUCUAAUUCCUAUCAACACCAAAUUCUGCACACAAAAAAAACCACCAAAAAAACACCAUGAAUUAAAAUAUAUGACAUUAACUAUGCUAGCUUUUAUGAUGGAUAAUACAGACUUUAAUUAUUAGAUGAUCAUAAUAUAAAUUAAAAAAAUUUGUGAAAAAGGGGUAUUUGAGUAUUUAAUUGAAAUUCGAAAUCCUCAAGUAAGUGUCUUCAAUUGUUUAAAUUUAGUGAAAAAAGAAGAACAAUAAUUAUGUUAUUAAGAUGAUUUUUAUUUUAUUUUGAACCAUAAAUCUGUAGGAUUUCUUAUAAGAUUUAAUAAUACGACCUCAGCUUUGCAAUAUCUGUGUUAACAGAAUGCUAUACAGCAUAGAAAUGACCAAAACAAGCUUACUCACCAUCUGAUGGGAGGAAGGAAGAUAGGGAACUUCAGAAGUUACUUAACUCCCUGUAAAAAGUUUAAAACAUGGUUUCACACUGUCUCCUACAAACAAUUUACUGUAACAUCUCAUCUCAAACCAAUAGAUUUAUAGAACUGUAUGAUGUUUCCCUGAAAAAAUCCAUAUUGAAUUAAUAUAGAAUUUUAAAGAAAAAUCUACUUAUUUAGAUGUGAAUACUAUUGAUUUAGCCUUGCAUAGUCAAUUAUAGAUAUAGGUAUCAAACAGUAAAAAUGUACUCAUACUUUAACAUGACUAUGUCUAGUGAAUAAUUUCAGCAUCAUGUCAACACUACCUUAUAAGUGAAAAUUUUGGAUACAGGUCUGAAUUUUUAAAAUCACAUACAUGUUGCUGGUUUCAUACAAAACUAUAAUGAAAAUCUUAUACAAUGCUAUGGUUUUAUCAGGGGAAAUGAUUAAGUUGCUGUUUGAGGCAUAUUUGUUAACCAGGAAUAGUCCUUCAUCUAGUCAAAUACUAUUGUAAUUUUAGAAUUUGUGAGGAUUUUUUCAUAAGGAAGUCAACUUUUGCUUAGUAAUUGUUGCUCUAUAUUUAUGUCCAUUUGAGUUAAACUGAAUUAGAUUUGUAGGAAGAUAUCAUUUGUAUAAGUUACAGUUUAAUACAAAAAUGUUCAAAAUUGUAAAAUAAUACUUCAAUAAUUUGUUCUGAAAUACUGUCAUUGUUUGUAUAUCUUGAUCAAAAGAUAAAGCUUAAGGUGUUCAUUUUAUACAGGUAACUAACGAGGGAGGAAACUUUAUCCUCUCAGGUGAGAGAGGGGGUAAUCAACUGAAAACAUACAUGGAUGGUCCUGAAACAUGUUGCAACUCCAUUCAUUCUGCCAUGUUACAAUUCAACAUCAUCACUGCUUCAAUGAUUCUGCCUUAUAUUGUAUGUUACAUCAUUUCGUUUCACAAACAAAAAACAAACAUCUUAUUGUGUUAUGCCAUGUUCAUUCAUAAUAAGGACAGGUGUACACAUUGUUUUCAUUCCAACCAACUGUCUUAUAUAAAUACCGGCUGUUUGGCUUAGUUGCAACUUUUUAAACUCAUUCUUUUUGCUUAUUAUGAGAAAAGUUUUCCUGAAAUAUGAUGAGAACAAAUUCAGUAUGAUUUUGUUUUAAUCUUUCAAUUUAGUAAGUAAACUCAAUGUUAAUUCAGAGGUCUUGGGACUGCAAAUCUGACUGUCUUUUGAUUGUUUAUUAUUCAAGAUAAAAUUCGGUUAUUUUUUAGAGCUAUAAUCUGUUACUUUUUAGUCUGACCUUCAAAAUAUAUUAGAACUGUUAGAAUCCUAGUAAAUAGUGACUUAUUAGAGUCUAUAGGAGGUAGAGAAUUCCAGUGUUGGGUUACCUCCCCUACUUCUGAAGUACAGUAGACAUGUGCCCUGCUUGUCAGCAAGGUUAAAUGUCUAUUGAUUACAAUACAUACAUUAGAAGAUAAGCAUCAAUUAGUUUUAAUAAAGAUGACAUCAUUUUAAUUGUCUUUUGUGUCUUGUUGAAUGAAAUGUUUUAAAUCUCAAGGAUAAAACAAUCAUUGGAGAUCUACAUGGUUUUGUACAAUACACAACUGAUAAAUCUAGAGAUAUUGCUUGAUGACCAAUCAGUCAGAUGUCGGACUUUUCAUCUGUAUAUUGAUGACCAAUCGGUAAAGUAUUGGGACUGUUGUCUGACUAUCAAAAGACCAUCUGUAUUUAUAGAUCAGUGAUUCAUUACUUACGUACACCUGUCUUAUACUUACAUGUUAUGUGGUUACUGUCAUGGAAUCAAAGAAUCAAAUGUUCCAUAUGUUUGUAUCUAACUUUCAAAUAUACAUUAGAAUACUUUUAUUUUAGCAAUUAUGCAGAUAAUAUUUAGCAUUACAGUUUCCAUUCAGCAUUCUUUGGGUAUUUUAUUUGCAAAAAUUGGAAAAUAUGAAGUGACUUGUUUCUACCAAAUGACAUUUUAUUCUAACUACUAGUAACAUAAUCUUAAAUGAUACCUUAGGCUUCAUCUAGUUAAGUUAUACCUUAUGACAGGCUUUCAGUUCCUUCUAUGAUCCACUUCCUGAUUAACAAGAUGUUGCAUCUUAAACAUACUUAUAUGAACUCUUUUUCACCUUUUUAUGCCCCACCUACGAUAGAAGAGGGGCAUCAUGUUUUCUGGUCUGUGCAUCUGUUCGUUCAGCCGUGCAUCCUUUUGUCUGUGUGUCCGUUCAUCCGUCUGUCCUGCUUCAGGUUAAAGUUUUUGGUCAAGGUAGUUUUUAAUCAACUUGAAACUUAGUACACAAGUUCCCUAUGAUAUGAUCUUUCUAAUUUUAAUGCCAAAUUAGAAUUUUUACCCCAAUUUCGCGGUCCACUGAACGUAUAAAAUGAUAGUAGGAGUGGGGCAUCUGUGUACUGUGGACACAUUCUUGUUCUCAGCAGAUAUAAGUCAUGGCUUUUUAGAAUAUGACACCUUAGCUUCAUUUAGUUAUGCCAUCUUGUAUGAAGCAUUUAUGUGUCCUUCAAUGUUCUAUGCCUUGUUUGGCAAAGAUGUAAAUCUUGAGCAGAAUUAUAAUUAGUGAGCAAUAGCUUGUAAUAAUACAUAAUGUUACUCUUAGAUUUAAUGUCUGCUGUCUGCUUUGUCCCCUUGCAAUUUUGGUAUAAAUAUAAAUUUUUAAUUUGACCUCGCUUGCAAAAACAUUAUAUCAGAAAUAAUUGAUAACCCAAGCCAGAAUUUUCUUCAUAUAGUCACUGUUAUGUUUUUAUUACAGGGAGGUCUUGCUGAUAAAAGUGAAGCAUUUAAAAGAUAAUUAGUUUAUUAUUCCUUAUGCCUAUGUUACUUGUUGAUAGUAAAAGGUUGGAAAUAUCGAAAGUACAUACUAAACUUCUAAGACUUAAUACAAAAUAAAAUCAAUUAAGUGUCAUCUUUGUCAGGGUAUUUUGUAGCUCUUCCAGACACUAAAUAGGCUAAUGUUUAAACUACUCUAUCUAUUUAUUGUAAUCAGCUCAGCUAAACCAAUGGAUAGUUUACUUUAAACAAACACAAAAAUGGACCUCAAGUGUUUACUUAUGUGAACAGUAAUUACUGCGACUUUUUUGUUGAACCAAUCCAUAACCAGGCAAGAUUUAUCUUCCCUUGAGCAAACAGUCUUGGCCAUGUUUAACAGGCACGAUUGCUGAAUUAACCACGUCUUGUCAUAGACAAAGGGAGAACUCCGCAGAUUUUCAAGAUGUUUGUAAAUAUUGUUUCUCUUCUAAAAAACACCUCACAAAGCUGGCUACUAGAAAUAGAUUUCACUUUGUGUCAAAUAUUUAUCUAGUCUUUAACUGGGGGUUGACAGACAAUUUGUGAACAAAAAAUUGUUUACCUAAAAUAUUACACAAGUUUCUGUCUGG